GAGUUUGAUCUUGGCUCAGAUUGAACGCUGGCGGCAUGCCUUACACAUGCAAGUCGAACGGCAGCACGGGAGCUUGCUCCUGGUGGCGAGUGGCGAACGGGUGAGUAAUGCAUCGGAACGUAUCCUGGAGUGGGGGAUAACGUAGCGAAAGUUACGCUAAUACCGCAUAUUCUGUGAGCAGGAAAGCGGGGGACCUUCGGGCCUCGCGCUCUUGGAGCGGCCGAUGUCGGAUUAGCUAGUUGGUGAGGUAAAGGCUCACCAAGGCGACGAUCCGUAGCAGGUCUGAGAGGAUGAUCUGCCACACUGGAACUGAGACACGGUCCAGACUCCUACGGGAGGCAGCAGUGGGAAUUUUGGACAAUGGGGGCAACCCUGAUCCAGCCAUGCCGCGUGAGUGAAGAAGGCCUCGGUUGUAAGA
This 418-nucleotide ribosomal RNA is filed under the name bacterium enrichment culture clone ALO1_GLFRUDD03F4UG9. RNAcentral's name for it is "bacterial SSU rRNA". It matches the Rfam family "Bacterial small subunit ribosomal RNA", at positions 9 to 430 of the family's 1533-position model. The record is from RNAcentral.